Molecule: ribosomal RNA, 460 nt
Filed under: uncultured bacterium
Lineage: Bacteria
Description: partial 16S ribosomal RNA
Rfam family: Bacterial small subunit ribosomal RNA
Source: RNAcentral
CCUACGGGAGGCAGCAGUGAGGAAUAUUGGUCAAUGGACGAGAGUCUGAACCAGCCAAGUAGCGUGAAGGAUGACUGCCCUAUGGGUUGUAAACUUCUUUUAUCAAGGACUAAAACGAGGCUCGUUUGCCUUGUUGCAUGUACUUUAUGAAUAAGGAUAGGCUAACUCCGUGCCAGCAGCCGCGGUAAUACGGAGGAUCCGAGCUUUAGCCGGAUUUAUUGGGUUGAAAGGGAUCGUAUAUGGGUUGUUAAGUCAGUGGUGAAAGUUUCCGGCUCAACCGUAAAAUUGCAAUUGAUACUGGCAGUCUUGAGUACAGUUGAGGUAGGCGGAAUUCGUGGUGUAGCGGUGAAAUGCUUAGAUAUCACGAAGAACCCCGAUUGCGAAGGCAGCUUACUAAGCUGUGACUGACAUUGAUGCUCGAAAGUGUGGGUAUCAAACAGGAUUAGAUACCCGAGUAGUC